RNAcentral lists this transfer RNA (56 nucleotides) under Ignavibacteria bacterium. RNAcentral's name for it is "tRNA-Met". It matches the Rfam family "tRNA", at positions 8 to 60 of the family's 71-position model. From Rfam's summary of the family: Transfer RNA (tRNA) molecules are approximately 80 nucleotides in length. Their secondary structure includes four short double-helical elements and three loops (D, anti-codon, and T loops). The record is from RNAcentral. Lineage: Bacteria; Pseudomonadati; Ignavibacteriota; Ignavibacteria.
UAGCUCAGUUGGUUAGAGCAGCUGACUCAUAAUCAGCGGGUCGGAGGUUCAAGUCC